UGGAUCCAGACUUUGAUUAUGGCUCAGGACGAACGCUGGCGGCGUGCUUAACACAUGCAAGUCGAACGGGGCACCCCUGAAGGAGUUUUCGGACAACGGAAGGGAAUGCUUAGUGGCGGACUGGUGAGUAACGCGUGAGGAACCUGCCUUUCGGAGGGGGACAACAGUUGGAAACGACUGCUAAUACCGCAUGACACGUCGGGGUCGCAUGGCUCUAACGUCAAAGAUUUAUCGCCGAAAGAUGGCCUCGCGUCUGAUUAGCUAGUUGGUGAGGUAACGGCCCACCAAGGCGACGAUCAGUAGCCGGACUGAGAGGUUGGCCGGCCACAUUGGGACUGAGAUACGGCCCAGACUCCUACGGGAGGCAGCAGUGGGGAAUAUUGGGCAAUGGACGCAAGUCUGACCCAGCAACGCCGCGUGAAGGAAGAAGGCUUUCGGGUUGUAAACUUCUUUUAAGGGGGAAGAGCGGAAGACGGUACCCCUUGAAUAAGCCACGGCUAACUACGUGCCAGCAGCCGCGGUAAUACGUAGGUGGCAAGCGUUGUCCGGAUUUACUGGGUGUAAAGGGCGUGCAGCCGGAGAGGCAAGUCAGAUGUGAAAUCCGCGGGCUCAACCCGCGAACUGCAUUUGAAACUGCUCCCCUUGAGUAUCGGAGAGGUAACCGGAAUUCCUAGUGUAGCGGUGAAAUGCGUAGAUAUUAGGAAGAACACCAGUGGCGAAGGCGGGUUACUGGACGACAACUGACGGUGAGGCGCGAAAGCGUGGGGAGCAAACAGGAUUAGAUACCCUGGUAGUCCAUGCUGUAAACGAUCGAUACUAGGUGUGCGGGGACUGACCCCCUGCGUGCCGGAGUUAACACAAUAAGUAUCGCACCUGGGGAGUACGAUCGCAAGGUUGCAACUCAAAUGAAUUGACGGA
RNAcentral lists this ribosomal RNA (918 nucleotides) under uncultured Bacillota bacterium. Its description in RNAcentral is "bacterial SSU rRNA". It matches the Rfam family "Bacterial small subunit ribosomal RNA", at positions 1 to 917 of the family's 1533-position model. Lineage: Bacteria; Bacillati; Bacillota. The record is from RNAcentral.